This 61-nucleotide transfer RNA is filed under the name Heterocephalus glaber (naked mole-rat). It matches the Rfam family "tRNA", at positions 6 to 65 of the family's 71-position model. Rfam says of the family: Transfer RNA (tRNA) molecules are approximately 80 nucleotides in length. Lineage: Eukaryota; Metazoa; Chordata; Mammalia; Rodentia; Bathyergidae. The record is from Rfam by way of RNAcentral.
UGUAGCUUAGUGGUAGAGCUCUUGCCUAGCAUGCAUAAGGCCCUGAGUUCAAUCCCCAGCA